CUAGUACUCCCUCCGUCCCAAAAUUCUUGUCUUAAGUUUGCUUAGAAAUGGAUGUAUCUAAAUACUAAAACGUGACUAGAUACAUCUGUAUCUAGACAAAUCUAANNNNNNAAUUUUGGGACGGAGGGAGUAGUAC
This is a non-coding RNA of Hordeum vulgare subsp. vulgare (domesticated barley), 136 nucleotides long. NCBI's taxonomy places the organism in Eukaryota, Viridiplantae, Streptophyta, Magnoliopsida, Poales, Poaceae. The record is from Rfam.